UACCUGCAGCCCGAGUGGUUGCCGUUAUUAUUGGGCCUAAAACGUCCGUAGCCGGUUUGGUAGAUGCCUGUGUAAAUCGAACGGCUUAACCGUUCGAACUGCGGGUAGACCGCCAGACUUGGGACCGGGAGAGUCACGAAGUACUCCGGGGGUAGAGGUGAAAUUCUGUAAUCCUCGGGGGACUACCGGUGGCGAAGGCGUCGUGAUAGAACGGCUCCGACGGUGAGGGACGAAGCCCUGGGGCGCAAACCGG
This 253-nucleotide ribosomal RNA is filed under the name uncultured bacterium. Its description in RNAcentral is "partial 16S ribosomal RNA". It matches the Rfam family "Archaeal small subunit ribosomal RNA", at positions 474 to 727 of the family's 1478-position model. The record is from RNAcentral.